GAUGCCGGCAGCUGAGGCGUGUUUGUCUGGUACACACGAGCCAAUUUCUCCUGUUAGGGUGGACGACAUGCAAGCAGCCGCGAUGACGGACAGGCCGCUCUCGCACCACCAGACUCCCUUCAGGGUAGUUACCCACGGGCACGUACUUUUGCCGUUUAUUUUUACUUGUGAUUCCGCUCGUUGUGAACGUGGCUCGAUCCAUGUUGUGGCCCAAUUAAUAUUUUUGUUUUGUUUCGAUGGAUCGUCUUGGCUUGCUUUUGGCCUGAAGUUGUUGCCUUGCUUUUGGCACACCUGAUUCCACUACCUUUUGUUGUUGCUUGGACCAGUUUCUAUGUAAUGAACAUAUUUAUAUCAAUGUUGUGCUUCUGUUAUAAUCUUGCUA
Long non-coding RNA from Triticum dicoccoides, 382 nucleotides. RefSeq lists it as uncharacterized. The record is from RefSeq and is a predicted model, not a curated record. NCBI's taxonomy places the organism in Eukaryota, Viridiplantae, Streptophyta, Magnoliopsida, Poales, Poaceae. The transcript is spliced from 2 exons.